Non-coding RNA from Sturnus vulgaris (Common starling), 727 nucleotides. The record is from RefSeq and is a predicted model, not a curated record. NCBI's taxonomy places the organism in Eukaryota, Metazoa, Chordata, Aves, Passeriformes, Sturnidae.
UUGGUAAGCAGCAUGAGUUUACAUGGGAAAAAAAAGGAUUUUUACAUUUUUUUUCCUUUAAUAGCGUUUCUCCCCUUUGUUUUGCUCUGUACAAUUAUUACAGUAUUGUUUGAUUACAUUGCUCCUUUUUUAUCCCUCUGUGCAGACCAAGCAUGCUGAAAAUGAAAGGCAGCAUGUAACCUUAUGAAGUCACUAAUUGUAGUACUGCAGAUUUGACCAAAAGUUUGGAUGCAUGCAAAACUGAAGGUUUUUUUAUAAGUUUAUCAUCUUGAGUCUUGUAGAUUCUGUUCAAUGAAAAGUCAGAUUUAUAUGUGCAUAGAGCUAGUAGGGGAAAUUUAUGGCAACAUGCAAAGUGGGUCCAUAACUGAACAUUUGAAUGUGGGACAAAAUGGAGCUGCAUUGGCUUUUGAUGCCUUGUCUUGAUUUUGUGUUAUUCUAAAUGUUCCUGGAUUCAAUGAGCAUAACAACUGUGGCAGUCUGGAUUUUGAAAAGUACUGAUGGUAUCUGGAAGGCACCAGUUUUCUUCAAGUCCCAUUGGCAAAGACAGAGAGAGAAGGACAGGUCCCAUUCAGGGACCUGAAUGGAACAGGACAUAAGGACACUAAUGACACUUCCCUCUACUUUCUCAGGCCCUGCCCUGGAUCUGAGCAGGGAAGCAAUGUCAGAAGGAAUUAUACCCUCUGGCUGGCUUAGCCCGAGCGAUAAGGACGGCAGAGAGCGUGACUUU